Molecule: ribosomal RNA, 497 nt
Filed under: uncultured bacterium
Lineage: Bacteria
Description: partial 16S ribosomal RNA
Rfam family: Bacterial small subunit ribosomal RNA
Source: RNAcentral
AAUGAACGCUGGCGGCGUGCCUAAUACAUGCCAGUCGAGCGAACGGACGAGAAGCUUGCUUCUCUGAUGUUAGCGGCGGACGGGUGAGUAACACGUGGAUAACCUACCUAUAGGACUGGGAUAACUUCGGGAAACCGGAGCUAAUACCGGAUAAUAUUUUGAACCGCAUGGUUCAAAAGUGAAAGACGGUCUUGCUGUCACUUAUAGAUGGAUCCGCGCUGCAUUAGCUAGUUGGUAAGGUAACGGCUUACCAAGGCAACGAUGCAUAGCCGACCUGAGAGGGUGAUCGGCCACACUGGAACUGAGACACGGUCCAGACUCCUACGGGAGGCAGCAGUAGGGAAUCUUCCGCAAUGGGCGAAAGCCUGACGGAGCAACGCCGCGUGAGUGAUGAAGGUCUUCGGAUCGUAAAACUCUGUUAUUAGGGAAGAACAUAUGUGUAAGUAACUGUGCACAUCUUGACGGUACCUAAUCAGAAAGCCACGGCUAACUACGUG